CGCAGCCGCGGUAAUUCCAGCUCCAAUAGCGUAUAUUAAAGUUGUUGCAGUUAAAAAGCUCGUAGUUGAAUUUCGAGAUCAAAUCGUUGGUCGUGCCUCGGUACGUACUGGCAUUAUUGAUUUCUCCUUUCUGAAGAACCACGAUGUCAUUAAUUUGGUGUCGUGGGGAAUCAGGACUGUUAAUUUGAAAAAAAUUAGAGUGUUUAAAGCAGGCUCACGCUUGAAUACAUUAGCAUGGAAUAAUGAAAUAGGACGUUUGAUUCUAUUUUGUUGGUUUCUAGGAUCGACGUAAUGAUUAAUAGGGAUAGUUGGGGGCAUUAGUAUUCAAUUGUCAGAGGUGAAA
RNAcentral lists this ribosomal RNA (343 nucleotides) under uncultured Glomus. RNAcentral's name for it is "SSU rRNA". It matches the Rfam family "Eukaryotic small subunit ribosomal RNA", at positions 569 to 916 of the family's 1831-position model. Lineage: Eukaryota; Fungi; Glomeromycota; Glomeromycetes; Glomerales; Glomeraceae. The record is from RNAcentral.